AUUUGUCGCCCAGGGAUGAGCCCGCGUAGGAUUAGCUAGUUGGUGGGGUAAUGGCCUACCAAGGCGACGAUCCUUAGCUGGUNUGAGAGGAUGAUCAGCCACACUGGGACUGAGACACGGCCCAGACUCCUACGGGAGGCAGCAGUGGGGAAUAUUGGACAAUGGGCGAAAGCCUGAUCCAGCAAUUCCGCGUGAGUGAUGAAGGCCUUAGGGUUGUAAAGCUCUUUUACCAGGGAUGAUAAUGACAGUACCUGGAGAAUAAGCUCCGGCUAACUCCGUGCCAGCAGCCGCGGUAAUACGGAGGGAGCUAGCGUUGUUCGGAAUUACUGGGCGUAAAGCGCGCGUAGGCGGUUACUCAAGUCAGAGGUGAAAGCCCGGGGCUCAACCCCGGAACUGCCUUUGAAACUAGGUGACUAGAAUCUUGG
Molecule: ribosomal RNA, 425 nt
Filed under: uncultured bacterium
Lineage: Bacteria
Description: bacterial SSU rRNA
Rfam family: Bacterial small subunit ribosomal RNA
Source: RNAcentral